AGAGUUUGAUCCUGGCUCAGAUUGAACGCUGGCGGUAUGCUUAACACAUGCAAGUCGAACGGAAACAGGACGCUGUGAUCUCUUCGGAGUGAACUUGUCGCUGUCGAGUGGCGGACGGGUGAGUAAUGCUUGGGAAUCUGCCCAGUAGUGGGGGACAACACGGGGAAACUCGUGCUAAUACCGCAUACGCCCUACGGGGGAAAGCGGGGGAUCUUCGGACCUCGCGCUAUUGGAUGAGCCCAAGUCGGAUUAGCUUGUUGGUGGGGUAAUGGCCCACCAAGGCAUCGAUCCGUAGCUGGUCUGAGAGGACGAUCAGCCACACUGGGACUGAGACACGGCCCAGACUCCUACGGGAGGCAGCAGUGGGGAAUAUUGGACAAUGGGGGCAACCCUGAUCCAGCAAUACCGCGUGUGUGAAGAAGGCCUGCGGGUUGUAAAGCACUUUCAGUAGAGAAGAAAAGCCUAUGGGUUAAUACCCUCGAGUCUUGACGUAACCUACAGAAGAAGCACCGGCUAACUCCGUGCCAGCAGCCGCGGUAAUACGGGGGGUGCAAGCGUUAAUCGGAAUUACUGGGCGUAAAGCGCGCGUAGGCGGUCUGGUCAGUCGGAUGUGAAAGCCCCGGGCUCAACCUGGGAAUUGCAUUCGAUACUGCCAAACUAGAAUGUGGAAGAGGGAAGUGGAAUUUCCGGUGUAGCGGUGAAAUGCGUAGAGAUCGGAAGGAACACCAGUGGCGAAGGCGGCUUCCUGGCCAAACAUUGACGCUGAGGUGCGAAAGCGUGGGUAGCGAACAGGAUUAGAUACCCUGGUAGUCCACGCCGUAAACGAUGAGAACUAGUUGUUGGGAGGGUUUUGCCUCUCAGUGACGCAGCUAACGCGUUAAGUUCUCCGCCUGGGGAGUACGGCCGCAAGGCUAAAACUCAAAGGAAUUGACGGGGACCCGCACAAGCGGUGGAGCAUGUGGUUUAAUUCGAUGCAACGCGAAGAACCUUACCUGCCCUUGACAUUGACAGAACCCUUUAGAGAUAGAGGGGUGCUUCGGCCUGGAAAACAGGUGCUGCAUGGCUGUCGUCAGCUCGUGUCGUGAGAUGUUGGGUUAAGUCCCGCAACGAGCGCAACCCUUAUCCAUAGUUGCCAGCACGUAAUGGUGGGAACUCUAUGGAGACUGCCGGUGACAAACCGGAGGAAGGUGGGGACGACGUCAAGUCAUCAUGGCCCUUAUGGGCAGGGCUACACACGUGCUACAAUGGCCGGUACAGAGGGUUGCCAACCCGCGAGGGGGAGCCAAUCCCAGAAAGCCGGUCGUAGUCCGGAUUGGAGUCUGCAACUCGACUCCAUGAAGUUGGAAUCGCUAGUAAUCGCGAAUCAGCAUUGUCGCGGUGAAUACGUUCCCGGGUCUUGUACACACCGCCCGUCACACCAUGGGAGUUGGUUGCACCAGAAGUGGGUAGACUAACCUUCGGGAGGUCGCUCACCACGGUGUGGUCAAUGACUGGGGUGAAGUCGUAACAAGGUAACC
Molecule: ribosomal RNA, 1517 nt
Filed under: uncultured prokaryote
Description: partial 16S ribosomal RNA
Rfam family: Bacterial small subunit ribosomal RNA
Source: RNAcentral